UUAAGCGACUAAGCGUACACGGUGGAUGCCCUGGCAGUCAGAGGCGAUGAAGGACGUGCUAAUCUGCGAAAAGCGCCGGCGAGGUGAUAUGAACCUUUGACCCGGCGAUGUCCGAAUGGGGAAACCCAGUGCAAUUCGUUGCACUAUCGUUAACUGAAUACAUAGGUUAACGAGGCGAACCGGGGGAACUGAAACAUCUAAGUACCCCGAGGAAAAGAAAUCAACCGAGAUUCCCCCAGUAGCGGCGAGCGAACGGGGAGCAGCCCAGAGUCUGAAUCAGCUUGUGUGUUAGUGGAAGCGUCUGGAAAGUCGCACGGUACAGGGUGACAGUCCCGUACACGAAAGCACACAGGUUGUGAACUCGAAGAGUAGGGCGGGACACGUGGUAUCCUGUCUGAAUAUGGGGGGACCAUCCUCCAAGGCUAAAUACUCCUGACUGACCGAUAGUGAACCAGUACCGUGAGGGAAAGGCGAAAAGAACCCCGGCGAGGGGAGUGAAAAAGAACCUGAAACCGUGUACGUACAAGCAGUGGGAGCACCUUCGUGGUGUGACUGCGUACCUUUUGUAUAAUGGGUCAGCGACUUAUAUUCUGUAGCAAGGUUAACCGUAUAGGGGAGCCGAAGGGAAACCGAGUCUUAACUGGGCGUUAAGUUGCAGGGUAUAGACCCGAAACCCGGUGAUCUAGCCAUGGGCAGGUUGAAGGUUGGGUAACACUAACUGGAGGACCGAACCGACUAAUGUUGAAAAAUUAGCGGAUGACUUGUGGCUGGGGGUGAAAGGCCAAUCAAACCGGGAGAUAGCUGGUUCUCCCCGAAAGCUAUUUAGGUAGCGCCUCGUGAACUCAUCUUCGGGGGUAGAGCACUGUUUCGGCUAGGGGGCCAUCCCGGCUUACCAACCCGAUGCAAACUACGAAUACCGAAGAAUGUUAUCACGGGAGACACACGGCGGGUGCUAACGUCCGUCGUGAAGAGGGAAACAACCCAGACCGCCAGCUAAGGUCCCAAAGUCAUGGUUAAGUGGGAAACGAUGUGGGAAGGCACAGACAGCCAGGAUGUUGGCUUAGAAGCAGCCAUCAUUUAAAGAAAGCGUAAUAGCUCACUGGUCGAGUCGGCCUGCGCGGAAGAUGUAACGGGGCUAAACCAUGCACCGAAGCUGCGGCAGCGACGCUUAUGCGUUGUUGGGUAGGGGAGCGUUCUGUAAGCCGUUGAAGGUGUGCUGUGAGGCAUGCUGGAGGUAUCAGAAGUGCGAAUGCUGACAUAAGUAACGAUAAAGCGGGUGAAAAGCCCGCUCGCCGGAAGACCAAGGGUUCCUGUCCAACGUUAAUCGGGGCAGGGUGAGUCGACCCCUAAGGCGAGGCCGAAAGGCGUAGUCGAUGGGAAACAGGUUAAUAUUCCUGUACUUGGUGUUACUGCGAAGGGGGGACGGAGAAGGCUAUGUUAGCCGGGCGACGGUUGUCCCGGUUUAAGCAUGUAGGCGGAGGUUCCAGGUAAAUCCGGUACCUUAUUAACGCUGAGGUGUGAUGACGAGGCACUACGGUGCUGAAGUAACAAAUGCCCUGCUUCCAGGAAAAGCCUCUAAGCAUCAGGUAACACGAAAUCGUACCCCAAACCGACACAGGUGGUCAGGUAGAGAAUACCAAGGCGCUUGAGAGAACUCGGGUGAAGGAACUAGGCAAAAUGGUGCCGUAACUUCGGGAGAAGGCACGCUGAUAUGUAGGUGAAGCCCCUGCGGGUGGAGCUGAAAUCAGUCGAAGAUACCAGCUGGCUGCAACUGUUUAUUAAAAACACAGCACUGUGCAAACACGAAAGUGGACGUAUACGGUGUGACGCCUGCCCGGUGCCGGAAGGUUAAUUGAUGGGGUUAGCGGUAACGCGAAGCUCUUGAUCGAAGCCCCGGUAAACGGCGGCCGUAACUAUAACGGUCCUAAGGUAGCGAAAUUCCUUGUCGGGUAAGUUCCGACCUGCACGAAUGGCGUAAUGAUGGCCAGGCUGUCUCCACCCGAGACUCAGUGAAAUUGAACUCGCUGUGAAGAUGCAGUGUACCCGCGGCAAGACGGAAAGACCCCGUGAACCUUUACUAUAGCUUGACACUGAACACUGGUCCUUGAUGUGUAGGAUAGGUGGGAGGCUUUGAAGCGUGGACGCCAGUCUGCGUGGAGCCGACCUUGAAAUACCACCCUUUAAUGGCUGGUGUUCUAACGUAGACCCGUGAUCCGGGUUGCGGACAGUGUCUGGUGGGUAGUUUGACUGGGGCGGUCUCCUCCCAAAGAGUAACGGAGGAGCACGAAGGUUAGCUAAUCCUGGUCGGACAUCAGGAGGUUAGUGCAAUGGCAUAAGCUAGCUUGACUGCGAGAGUGACGGCUCGAGCAGGUGCGAAAGCAGGUCAUAGUGAUCCGGUGGUUCUGAAUGGAAGGGCCAUCGCUCAACGGAUAAAAGGUACUCCGGGGAUAACAGGCUGAUACCGCCCAAGAGUUCAUAUCGACGGCGGUGUUUGGCACCUCGAUGUCGGCUCAUCACAUCCUGGGGCUGAAGUAGGUCCCAAGGGUAUGGCUGUUCGCCAUUUAAAGUGGUACGCGAGCUGGGUUUAGAACGUCGUGAGACAGUUCGGUCCCUAUCUGCCGUGGGCGCUGGAGAAUUGAGGGGGGCUGCUCCUAGUACGAGAGGACCGGAGUGGACGCAUCACUGGUGUUCGGGUUGUCAUGCCAAUGGCACUGCCCGGUAGCUAAAUGCGGAAAAGAUAAGUGCUGAAAGCAUCUAAGCACGAAACUUGCCCCGAGAUGAGUUCUCCCUGACCCUUUAAGGGUCCUGAAGGAACGUUGAAGACUACGACGUUGAUAGGUCGGGUGUGUAAGCGCAGCGAUGCGUUGAGCUAACCGAUACUAAUGAACCGUGAGGCUUAACCU
This 2903-nucleotide ribosomal RNA is filed under the name Enterobacter cloacae. Its description in RNAcentral is "23S ribosomal RNA". It matches the Rfam family "Bacterial large subunit ribosomal RNA". The record is from RNAcentral. Lineage: Bacteria; Pseudomonadati; Pseudomonadota; Gammaproteobacteria; Enterobacterales; Enterobacteriaceae.